AACCGAGUCCUGUACGACAAAGUGCUGUGAACCUUGUCAGAUGGGGAACCAAGCAGCAAUAAGCAGAGGUCUUUGUGCGAUACAGAAAAACUCGGUUUGA
This 100-nucleotide signal recognition particle RNA is filed under the name Bacillota bacterium. RNAcentral describes it as "signal recognition particle sRNA small type". It matches the Rfam family "Bacterial small signal recognition particle RNA". From Rfam's summary of the family: The signal recognition particle (SRP) is a universally conserved ribonucleoprotein involved in the co-translational targeting of proteins to membranes. Archaeal SRP consists of a 7S RNA and homologues of the eukaryotic SRP19 and SRP54 proteins. The record is from RNAcentral. Lineage: Bacteria; Bacillati; Bacillota.